RNAcentral lists this unclassified non-coding RNA (1527 nucleotides) under Zea mays. Its description in RNAcentral is "misc RNA Zm00001eb377840". Lineage: Eukaryota; Viridiplantae; Streptophyta; Magnoliopsida; Poales; Poaceae. The record is from RNAcentral.
CCCUCCCUGGCGCACCGUCGGCCCGGCAGCACCCGCUCGCUUCCUCCCCCACCCCUUUGACCGUCACGCCCGUCGUCGAUCGGGACGCACCAGCUCCGCCGCGCUCGCUCGCCCGUGGCCGGCCGGGCGGCGAUGGAUCCCGUGGCGGCGGCGCACGGCGGCGGCCACCACUUCGCGCCGCCAGUGGCGCCGUUCCACCACGCGUUCGGCGGCGGCCACCACCUGUUCCCGGGACAGCAGCACCCGGCGUUCCAGCAUUUCCAGGAGCACCAGCUGGAGCUCAUGGGCGGGGUCCCCGCCGGCGCGAAGCAGGAGCUCGGCGACGACAGCAACAACACCAUCAACAGCGCGGGGAGCAACGGGAGCGGCGACGGCGACCAGCAGCAGCAGCAGCAGCAGGCCGGGGGCGACGUCGACAACCACCACCAGCACCACCACCACCAGCAGGCCGCGGUGAUGCGCCGCCCGCGGGGUCGCCCCGCGGGGUCCAAGAACAAGCCGAAGCCGCCCGUGAUCAUCACGCGGGACAGCGCCAGCGCGCUGCGCGCGCACGUGCUGGAGGUGGCCGCCGGCUGCGACGUGGUGGACAGCGUGGCCGGCUUCGCGCGGCGCCGCCAGGUGGGCGUGUGCGUGCUCAGCGGCGCCGGCAGCGUGGCCAACGUGUGCGUCCGCCAGCCCGGCGCCGGCGCCGGGGCCGUCACGCUGCCGGGCCGCUUCGAGAUCCUCUCCCUCUGCGGCUCCUUCCUCCCGCCGCCGGCGCCGCCCGCCGCCACGGGCCUCACCGUCUACCUCUCCGGCGGGCAGGGCCAGGUGGUGGGCGGGUCCGUGGCCGGGCCGCUCCUCGCGUCCGGCCCCGUCGUCAUCGUCGCCGCCUGCUUCGGCAACGCCGCCUACGAGCGCCUCCCGCUCGACGACGACGACCUGCCGCAGCAGCAGCAGCACCUGCCCCCUCCUCCUCCUAUUCCGCAGGGCAUGCCCGGAGCUGCCGGCGCCGGCGGGCAGUCCUCGUCCCCGCCGCCCCCGCCGCUGCCAUUGCCCGGACAACACCCGCUCGCCGACCAGCUCCCCCACGGCCUCAUCAACGGCCUCCCUCUCCCCGCUGACGCCUACGGCUGGGCCAACCCAGGAGGCGGCGCCGGCCGCGUCGCCCCGUACUGAUCGAUCGAAUCCGUCGCCGUACCGGACUCGGUCGAUCCGGACAUGGAAGGGGAACCAACGCUUGCUGCUUCAUCGCCAUCGGCGGAUCGACGACGACAAGUAACGAUGCAGCUGCUGCUAAGACUCAAUCCCUCCUCCUUCCCCUUUCGCUUGCCUUCUUCUUCUUCCCCUUCUACUUGCUGCUGUGGCGUGUAUCGACGAAUUCUCAUGUCAUGGAUCGAUGCUUAAUUAGUCAUAGACACCCCCGGCUCGUACCGUAGCAGUGUAAUUUAAUUUCCCUUCCCCCUAGUAGCUCGCAGUGUGCUUGGAACUGCAUGUCAGUCUGCUGCUAAAUUUCCUUUUACUCUAAUUUCACAUGAUCGAUGAUCC